RNAcentral lists this transfer RNA (69 nucleotides) under Hemitheconyx caudicinctus (African fat-tailed gecko). Its description in RNAcentral is "tRNA-Val". Lineage: Eukaryota; Metazoa; Chordata; Lepidosauria; Squamata; Eublepharidae. The record is from RNAcentral.
CGGGGAGUAGCUUAACCAAAAGCUCUUAAUUUACAAUUAAACGAUGCUCACAUAUGAGGGCCCCCCCGA